This 305-nucleotide ribosomal RNA is filed under the name uncultured bacterium. RNAcentral's name for it is "partial 16S ribosomal RNA". It matches the Rfam family "Bacterial small subunit ribosomal RNA", at positions 508 to 809 of the family's 1533-position model. The record is from RNAcentral.
ACAGCAGUAGCCGCGGGAACACGGAGGGUGCAAGCGUUAAUCGGAAUUACUGGGCGUAAAGCGCACGCAGGCGGUCUGACAAGUCAGAUGUGAAAUCCCCGGGCUUAACCUGGGAACUGCAUUUGAAACUGUCAGGCUAGAGUCUUGUAGAGGGGGGUAGAAUUCCAGGUGUAGCGGUGAAAUGCGUAGAGAUCUGGAGGAAUACCGGUGGCGAAGGCGGCCCCCUGGACAAAGACUGACGCUCAGGUGCGAAAGCGUGGGGAGCAAACAGGAUUAGAUACCCGCGUAGUCCCUGUCUCUUAUAA